RNAcentral lists this ribosomal RNA (468 nucleotides) under uncultured bacterium. RNAcentral describes it as "partial 16S ribosomal RNA". It matches the Rfam family "Bacterial small subunit ribosomal RNA", at positions 28 to 507 of the family's 1533-position model. The record is from RNAcentral.
GACGAACGCUGGCGGCGUGCUUAACACAUGCAAGUCGAACGGUAAGGCCCUGCUUUUGUGGGGUGCUCGAGUGGCUAACGGGUGAGUAACACGUGAGUAACCUGCCCUUGACUUUGGUAUAACUUCAGGAAACUGGGGCUAAUACCGGAUAGGAGCUCCUGCUGCAUGGUGGGGGUUGGAAAGUUUCGGCGGUUGGGGAUGGACUCGCGGCUUAUCAGCUUGUUGGUGGGGUAGUGGCUUACCAAGGCUUUGACGGGUUGCCGGCCUGAGAGGGUGACCGGCAACACUGGGACUGAGAUACGGCCCAGAAUCCGGCGGGAGGCAGCAGUGGGGAAUAUUGCAAAAUGGGCGGAAGCCGGAUGCAGCAAAGCCGCGUGCGGGAUGACGGCCUUCGGGUUGUAAACCGCGUUCGCCUGUGACGAAGCGUGAGUGACGGUAAUGGGUAAAGAAGCACCGGCUAACUACGUG